Beta vulgaris subsp. vulgaris (sugar beet) is the source of this 1881-nucleotide long non-coding RNA. RefSeq lists it as uncharacterized. NCBI's taxonomy places the organism in Eukaryota, Viridiplantae, Streptophyta, Magnoliopsida, Caryophyllales, Amaranthaceae. The transcript has 2 exons. The record is from RefSeq and is a predicted model, not a curated record.
AUUUAUGUAGUAAAUUAAACCGAAACAAAUCCCUAUCCGGUACGAAAUGAAGGAGCUAUCACUAUUUACUAUUUAGUAUUACUACUUGCUAGCCACCAAAAUAGAUGUAUCUAGUGAAGAAGCAAAACCAAACCGUCUCUCUCCGUUUGGUCUUCUUUAAUUUGUUAUAUAAAAAUGAGUACUCGUAGUAAUUUUGAUUUUUGAGGGGAUAGUCUCUUACAAGUCUCUAGUCUAUAGUGUAAUAAUACUAUAAUAGUAAUGGCAAAUAACAAGUGUGGACGUUUGGGUGACAAUCCAGAUAACGGAACACAUUAACUCCAAAAUCCACAUCACCAAACUAAAAUCAAAGCCCUCAGUGGCUCAGUUGUCACAUUAAAUCUCACUCUCCAAUUUGGCCAAUCCCCAAACUUUGUUUGCUCUGGGCCAGUUGAGACUUCGGGGAGGCUUUACCUUGGCUUUCUACAUGUUGUAUUGUAUCAUUGUAUGGUGUAUGGACCCUCCCUUUGUUUUAAACAAUUACAAAAAUAUCUGGUUUUGGAUAUUGAAUUGAGAAACCAACAGAAGACGAAAAUCAUCAUCAUUUAUUCAUUUGUACUACAUAAUACACUCAUCUCAUCAUAGAGUCAUAGAGUGAUAGAAGAUCAGUGAAGAGCAAAUGGGUGUGCACUUGGUGGUUGUUGCGGCAUUUCAUCUGUCAAGGGGCUCUAUGAGUUUGAGUAUCCCUCGAAUCGCCGCUAACUUGAUCUGGCCUUUUCUAGUUAAGCUUUGCUUAAGCCUCAAAAUUCCCACUCAAGAUUUGGUUUCUUCUUCUAGCUUCUUACUUUUCCAAAUUGCUCAGAUUUUUAAUCAUCAAAACAACACCAACAAUAAUUCUACUAACACUACUACUACUACGUCUACUAGUACUAGUACCACCCGAUUGGAUCGCGCUGUUCGAUUAGUACGGCAGAGACUUGCUCUUGCUAGAGAUUCGUCCUCGUCUUUAGCUCAUGAUGAUGAGGAAAGUCUCCGUAUCCUCUCCAUGCUUGCUCUUUAAUUUUAUGUCCCUCCAUUUCUUUUUUUUUUUCUUUUGUUCCUACCUCUUAAUUCAUGAUUUCUUUAUUAUUACCUACAUUUAUCACUGUUAUUGCUAUAUAUCAUAUAUAUGCUUCAUCUGUAAAUUUCUCGCUCUUACUUUUGCUCUUGCUCUUGCUCUUGCUCUUCUUCUGAUAGUAAGUUAGCUAGUCACACCACACACCAGCAUCAAUGCAACAUUAUUAUUGUUGCUUUUCAACCAAAACCAAAACCAAAACCAAAAUAUUUACUACCGGAAACUCGUGCUUUUCACAAAUUACUCCUAGAGAGCUUCUAUAUUAAUUAGGAGUAUAUUACAAUAUUAUUAAUGUUGAGCUACUUUUUUUUUUAUUCAAGUAAUAUUGUUCUAUCUCAGAAAUUUUGAUAAUGUUUCUCUUUUCAAUUAUUAUUUUUUCGUUACUACUGUUAUUAUAUGAGAUGCAUUAUCGACGAUGUACAUGGAGGAGUACGAGAUCAGCUUGUAUAAGGGGAAUCAAAUUAUAUAGAUCAUUGUUAUAUGUGUAUAAAAAGGAUUGUUCAAGUAUCUGUAUCUUUGAUAGGAUAGGAUAGGAGUUCAUAAAAUAAAAGAAACGGAUAGGAGUAUACUCGAUUAUUUAAUGUCGGAACAUCGGGUUUUCGACAAAAUUCUCUUUCCGAGUGUAAGUUCUAUGUAUUGGAUAAUGGAUAACAUUAUUGAUGAAUGAUGAUGCAUAUGAUUUGAUGCAACUAUGCAAGUAUUUUGUUUUUGUUGACAAAUAGUGUUGCGUGUAAUAGCCGUGUAUCAACUAUGAAGUUUCCCUAACUUUUACGCAUACAAUUCCAUUUUCA